UUGUUCGGGUAUCCUUCCCCAGUGUGGAAGCUUUAGUUCUUUUGCUCUUUGCAAUGAAUCUUGCUGCUGCUCACUCUUUGGGUCCACGCUGCGUUUACACUGUGUUUAUGAGCUGUAACACUCACCACAAAGGUCUGCAGCUUCACUCCUGAAGCCAGCAAAGACCACGAACCCACCAGGAAGAAGGAACAACUCCAGACACGCAGCCUUAAGAGCUGUAACACUCACUGCCAAGGUCUUCAGCUUCACUCCUGAGCCAGCCAGACCAUGAACCCACCAGAAGGAAAAAACUCGGAACACAUCCCAACAUCAGAAGGAACAAACUCUGGACAUGCCGCCUUUAAGAACUGUAACAACGCAAGGGUCCGCGGCUUUAUUCUUGAAGUCAGUAAGACCAAGAACCCAAUUCCGGACACGUUUGGACCAGACAAAGUCUUCCUAUGUUGCCCAGGCUGAUCUCAAACUUCUGGGUUCAAGGGAUCCUGCCACCUCAGCUUCCCACACUGAUGGGAUUAUAGGCAUGAGCCACUGCACCCUGCCUAGGCCCACAAGGGCAAGACUUCAUGAGGUUCUGGUGACCAAGCAUGCUCAUCGCUGUCCUGGGACUGCUCCAAGUGCAAUUCAAAGAUGUUUGUUACAAAUGAAGAUCCUCUCCUCAGAGAUCCUCAUUCCCUGCAUUUGAGAUGGGCCCUGGGAACCUUCAUUAUUAACUCCUGAAUUUCACUUGGACCAACACGGUGAUGGUGACAAGCCCAGACUGGUGCAUAUGAGAAGAGAAGACACAAGAAAACACACAUGGAAGAGAGUGAUGAAGGCGAAGACCGGAGUGAUGUAGCUCCAAGCCACAGAAUGUCAGAGAUCGCCAGGAGCCACCUCCGGGAUAAGCAGAUGGAAAGGCAGCUCAACAUCUGAGAAGCCAGUCUUACUCCCUGCAGGCAACAGCUGCUUCCAGAAAACAGCCCUGUAAUUGUCACCAUCAAAUCCAUAUAUUUUCAAGGGAAGUUGGUCCCACACCAGAAGUCAUAGCUGAAUCACCAGCAGUAAUGCAGGGACAUACUGGUUGCUUCUUGGCUUUUCCAACCCUCUGCCAUGCUUGAACAUCUUUGUGAAAGUCCAGGAACAACAAAUAAGCUUAAGGAUAAAAGCCCCCCAGCCAUACCACCACAACCCCCUGUUAAACUCAUGCAUGACUUGUAGAAUCCUUUCCCCACUGUCACUAAAAGGCUUUUUACAUUUUCCCUCCUUAAAACACCAGUUUACUGAAUGGAACGCUAUUUCCUAAAUAUUUGCUACACACACAGCUGUAUAUAGAGUUCCCAGGAGAUGACUUUUUUCUUGUCAUCUUUUAAAACUACAGUUAUAUGUUGAUUUAAUUAUCUUCUCUCUAGAUUACUUCACCAAAGUACAGUUCCUACAGGAAGAUAAUGAUCUGACCUAACCUACUAUUGGCUGAAGGAAGGAGAAAAGCAGCUGAAGAUGUCUGUUGAGUGAUUACCCUCAUAAUCCGUGACUAAGAACAUCCAAAUCAGCAUGGCUUCUUCCUGUCUGAAAUUAUUACUACUUAGGGUUUUUCACGUGUUAUUUCAUUUAUUGAUUAUUCUGUUUUAAACUUGCAAGACGUAUUGUCUCUUCAGAAAUAAAACUUUAUCACUUG
Molecule: long non-coding RNA, 1654 nt
Filed under: Homo sapiens (human)
Lineage: Eukaryota; Metazoa; Chordata; Mammalia; Primates; Hominidae
Description: HSALNT0378250
Source: RNAcentral